This 274-nucleotide ribosomal RNA is filed under the name uncultured bacterium. RNAcentral's name for it is "partial 16S ribosomal RNA". It matches the Rfam family "Bacterial small subunit ribosomal RNA", at positions 523 to 796 of the family's 1533-position model. The record is from RNAcentral.
AUACGGAGGGUGCAAGCGUUGUUCGUAAUUACUGGGCGUAAAGCGCGCGUAGGCGGUCUGUUAUGUCAGAUGUGAAAGUCCUCGGCUCAACCGGGGAAGUGCAUUUGAAACUGGCAGACUUGAGUACUUGAGGGGGUGGUGGAAUUCCCGGUGUAGAGGUGAAAUUCGUAGAUAUCGGGAGGAAUACCGGUGGCGAAGGCGACCACCUGGCCAGAUACUGACGCUGAGGUGCGAAAGCGUGGGGAGCAAACAGGAUUAGAAACCCCAGUAGUCC